AGUCUGAGAUGACUAUAGUGUUUGUGUAAGUAUAUAAAAAAUAAAACUUAACAGCUAAAGUAAUUUGGUUGAUGGCAGAAAAGCUUUUCUAAGUAAUGGGAGAUUAUAGGAAAAAUUUUCUAUAAAGUGCCACAGAGACGAGUUGCAGAAAUGCAAAAAGUGAAACGCGGUAAACCCCUCAAGCA
This 185-nucleotide RNase P RNA is filed under the name Candidatus Mycoplasma haematoparvum. RNAcentral describes it as "partial ribonuclease P RNA". It matches the Rfam family "Bacterial RNase P class B", at positions 56 to 232 of the family's 365-position model. From Rfam's summary of the family: Ribonuclease P (RNase P) is a ubiquitous endoribonuclease, found in archaea, bacteria and eukarya as well as chloroplasts and mitochondria. Its best characterised activity is the generation of mature 5'-ends of tRNAs by cleaving the 5'-leader elements of precursor-tRNAs. Cellular RNase Ps are ribonucleoproteins. Lineage: Bacteria; Bacillati; Mycoplasmatota; Mollicutes; Mycoplasmatales; Mycoplasmataceae. The record is from RNAcentral.